RNAcentral lists this ribosomal RNA (406 nucleotides) under uncultured bacterium. Its description in RNAcentral is "partial 16S ribosomal RNA". It matches the Rfam family "Bacterial small subunit ribosomal RNA", at positions 30 to 526 of the family's 1533-position model. The record is from RNAcentral.
AUUGAACGCUGGCGGCAGGCUUAACACAUGCAAGUCGAGCGAGCGGCGGACGGGUGAGUAAUGUCUGGGAAACUGCCUGAUGGAGGGGGUUAACUACUGGAAACGUUAGCUAAAACCGCAUAGCAUCAGAUGUGCCCAGAUGGGAUUUGCUAGUGGGUGGGGUAAUGGCUCACCUAGGCGACGAGCCCUAGCUGGUCUGAGAGGAUGACCAGCCAACCUGGAACUGAGACACGGUCCAGAUUCCUACGGGAGGAAGCGGUGGGGAAUAUUGCACAAUGGGGGCAAGCCUGAUGCAGCCAUGCCGCGUGUGUGAAGAAGGCCUUCGGUUUGUAAAGCACUUUCAGCGAGGAGGCGUUACUCACAGAAGAAGCACCGGCUAACUCCGUGCCAGCAGCCGCGGUAAUUC